UACGGAGGGUCCAAGCGUUAUCCGGAUUUAUUGGGUUUAAAGGGUCCGCAGGCGGGAAAAUAAGUCAGUGGUGAAAUCCUAUCGCUUAACGAUAGAACUGCCAUUGAUACUGUUUUUCUUGAGUGUAAUUGAAGUGGGCGGAAUGUGUCAUGUAGCGGUGAAAUGCAUAGAUAUGACACAGAACACCGAUUGCGAAGGCAGCUCACUAAAUUAUUACUGACGCUCAGGGACGAAAGCGUGGGGAGCAAACAGGAUUAGAAACCCGAGGUAGUCC
This 274-nucleotide ribosomal RNA is filed under the name uncultured bacterium. RNAcentral describes it as "partial 16S ribosomal RNA". It matches the Rfam family "Bacterial small subunit ribosomal RNA", at positions 524 to 796 of the family's 1533-position model. The record is from RNAcentral.